AGCUUUGUGCAGUGGCAGUAUCAUAGCCAAUGAGGUUUAUCUGAGGCACGAUUAUUGCUAAUUGAAAACUUUCCCAAAUACCCUACUGCGAUGACUUGCAAUAUAGUCGGCAUUGGCAAUUUUUGAGUCUCUACAGAGA
This is a small nuclear RNA of Aotus nancymaae (Ma's night monkey), 139 nucleotides long. Its record names the gene U4. It matches the Rfam family "U4 spliceosomal RNA". From Rfam's summary of the family: U4 small nuclear RNA (U4 snRNA) is a component of the major U2-dependent spliceosome. NCBI's taxonomy places the organism in Eukaryota, Metazoa, Chordata, Mammalia, Primates, Aotidae. The record is from Ensembl.